UAGAAGUUAGUUUUUUUUAAAUAUCAGUUUUGGGGACUGAAGAUAGAAAAUUUUCUACCUCUGA
This 64-nucleotide transfer RNA is filed under the name Pseudoeoscyllina brevipennisoides. Its description in RNAcentral is "tRNA-Pro". The record is from RNAcentral. Lineage: Eukaryota; Metazoa; Arthropoda; Insecta; Orthoptera; Acrididae.